GACGAACGCUGGCGGCGUGCCUAAUACAUGCAAGUAGGACGCAGUUGCGAACGGGUGAGUAACACGUGAGUAACCUGCCUUAGACAUUGGGAUAGCCUCGGGAAACCGGGAUUAAUACCAAAUGGUCUAAGAUGGACUCGCGUCCCAUUAGCUAGUUGGUGAGGUAACGGCCCACCAAGGCGACGAUGGGUAGCCGGCCUGAGAGGGUGAACGGCCACAUUGGAACUGAGAAACGGUCCAAACUCCUACGGGAGGCAGCAGUGGGGAAUAUUGCACAAUGGGCGAAGCCUGAUGCAGCGACGCCGCGUGGGGGAUGAAGGCUUUCGGGUUGUAAACCUCUUUCGCUAUCGAACGGGUAGGUGGAGAAGAAGCGCCGGCUAACUACGUGCCAGCAGCCGCGGUAAUAC
Molecule: ribosomal RNA, 407 nt
Filed under: uncultured bacterium
Lineage: Bacteria
Description: partial 16S ribosomal RNA
Rfam family: Bacterial small subunit ribosomal RNA
Source: RNAcentral